GUUUAUUUCAGCCUGGAAUUUUUUUCCACAAAUGGAUUUUCACUUCUGUUCUGGUUGAAUGAGAAAGGGGCAUAGUGAGGGGAUACACUUAGUCCUCCACUUAUUCCAUCCUGGAAGCCUGGGUUCGAUCGCCAGACUAUAGGAUGUUCCUUCUCAAUUGUAGCUUCCAGAGAGGUAGGAUAAUGAAGUGGAAAGAAAUAUGGCUUGUAAUCAAGGGAGCUGAGUCAAUACCAGCCCUGAUGCUGUAUGAUCCUGGGUGAGAACAUUGGAGCUUGGAGAGAUUAAACAACUAGACUGAGACCUGACAGCUACCACAAUAUCAGAGCUGGGAUUAGACUCUAGGUCCAGUGUAACAAAAUCAGCCAAACAAGCAAGCAUUGGUGAAGCAUCCACAAUUUGCCAGCCACUUUCCCCUAUUAUACCUUGUCUCUAGUUCCAUGAUGGGCCCAUUGAAACUCUUAGUCGGAUCUCAUGCAGGAAUCUGAAGUGUUGAAAGCUCUUUCAACUUAAAACUUCUUUUAUCUUGUCUUCUAAUUCAUUUCUCCAUUAGCAAAACUAAAAUAUUCAUUAA
Molecule: long non-coding RNA, 571 nt
Filed under: Monodelphis domestica (gray short-tailed opossum)
Lineage: Eukaryota; Metazoa; Chordata; Mammalia; Didelphimorphia; Didelphidae
Description: lncRNA (ENSMODG00000045760.1)
Source: RNAcentral